RNAcentral lists this ribosomal RNA (349 nucleotides) under Dinarolacerta mosorensis. RNAcentral describes it as "partial 12S ribosomal RNA". It matches the Rfam family "Bacterial small subunit ribosomal RNA", at positions 863 to 1377 of the family's 1533-position model. The record is from RNAcentral. Lineage: Eukaryota; Metazoa; Chordata; Lepidosauria; Squamata; Lacertidae.
AGCUAUCCGCCAGAGAACUACAAGUGAAAAACUUGAAACUCAAAGGACUUGACGGUGUCCCAUAUCGGCCUAGAGGAGCCUGUCCUAUAAUCGAUACCCCCCGUUCCACCCAACCUUAGCUAGCACAUAACAGCCUAUAUACCGCCGUCGAUCAGCCUACCCUAUGAAGGUUUAACAGUAGACACAAAAGCCUUAACCACUAAUACGUCAGGUCAAGGUGUAGCAAAUGCUAAGGAAGAGAUUGGCUACAUUUUUUAUUUUAAAAAAUACGAAAAGCACCAUGAAACCGUGCUUGAAGGUGAAUUUAGUAGUAAAAUAAAUAAGAGAGUUUAUUUUAACAACGCUCUGG